CGACUACGAGUUUGAUCAUGGCUCAGGAUGAACGCUAGCGGCGGGCCUAAUACAUGCAAGUUGAACGAGAUUGUUGGUAGCAAUACUGACAUGAAAGUGGCGCACGGGUGCGUAACACGUAUGUAACCUACCUUUAACUGGGGGCAUAGCUUCGAGAAAUCGAAAUUAAUACCCCAUAACAUUUAGAAAAGGCAUCUUUUCUUUAUCAAAGUUCCGGCGGUUAAAGAUGGACAUGCGGUGCAUUAGCUUGUUGGUGAGGUAACGGCUCACCAAGGCUACGAUGCAUAGGGGGUCUGAGAGGAUGAUCCCCCACACUGGUACUGAGACACGGACCAGACUCCUACGGGAGGCAGCAGUAGGGAAUAUUGGGCAAUGGACGAAAGUCUGACCCAGCCACGCCGCGUGAAGGAUGACUGCCCUAUGGGUUGUAAACUUCUUUUGUAUGGGAAGAAAAUUCCGAACGUGUUCGGAGCUGACGGUACCAUAAGAAUAAGCAUCGGCUAACUCCGUG
Molecule: ribosomal RNA, 511 nt
Filed under: uncultured bacterium
Lineage: Bacteria
Description: bacterial SSU rRNA
Rfam family: Bacterial small subunit ribosomal RNA
Source: RNAcentral